Molecule: ribosomal RNA, 253 nt
Filed under: uncultured bacterium
Lineage: Bacteria
Description: partial 16S ribosomal RNA
Rfam family: Bacterial small subunit ribosomal RNA
Source: RNAcentral
UACGUAGGGUGCAGGCGUUAAUCGGAAUUACUGGGCGUAAAGCGUGCGCAGGCGGUUUCUUAAGUCAGAUGUGAAAGCCCCGGGCUUAACCUGGGAACUGCGUUUGAAACUGGGAGACUUGAGUGUGGCAGAGGGGGGUGGAAUUCCAGGUGUAGCGGUGAAAUGCGUAGAUAUCUGGAGGAACACCGGUGGCGAAGGCGGCGUUCUGGACUGCAACUGACACUGAGGAACGAAAGCCAGGGGAGCAAACGGG